This 253-nucleotide ribosomal RNA is filed under the name uncultured bacterium. RNAcentral describes it as "partial 16S ribosomal RNA". It matches the Rfam family "Bacterial small subunit ribosomal RNA", at positions 524 to 776 of the family's 1533-position model. The record is from RNAcentral.
UACGGAGGGGGCUAGCGUUGUUCGGAAUCACUGGGCGUAAAGGGUGCGUAGGCGGGUCUUUAAGUCAGGGGUGAAAUCCCGAGGCUCAACCUCGGAACUGCCUUUGAUACUGGGGAUCUCGAGUCCGGGAGAGGUGAGUGGAACUGCGAGUGUAGAGGUGAAAUUCGUAGAUAUUCGCAAGAACACCAGUGGCGAAGGCGGCUCACUGGCCCGAUACUGACGCUGAGGCACGAAAGCGUGGGGAGCAAACAGG